This 467-nucleotide ribosomal RNA is filed under the name uncultured bacterium. Its description in RNAcentral is "partial 16S ribosomal RNA". It matches the Rfam family "Bacterial small subunit ribosomal RNA", at positions 28 to 507 of the family's 1533-position model. The record is from RNAcentral.
GACGAACGCUGGCGGCGUGCUUAACACAUGCAAGUCGAACGGAAAGGCCUCUUUCGGGGGGUACUCGAGUGGCGAACGGGGGAGUAACACGUGAGUAACCUCCCCUUUACUUUUGGAUAACUUCAGGAAACUGUGGCUAAUACCGGAUAUAAGCUCCUCCGGCAUGUGGGGGGUUUGAGAGUUUUGGCGGGUGGGGGUGGACUCGCGGGUUAUCAGCGUGUUUGGGGGGGAGUGGCUUACCAAGGCUCUGACGGGGAGCCGGGCUGGGAGGGUGACCGGCCACAUUGGGAAUGAGAUACGGCCCAGACUCCUACGGGAGGCAGCAGUGGGGAAUAUUGCACCAUGGGUGGGAGCCUGAUGCAGCAACGGCGGGUGGGGGAUGACGGCCUUCGGGUUGUAAACCGCUUUCGCUCAUGACGAAGCUUUGUGUGACGGUAGUGGGUAAAGAAGCACCGGCUAACUACGUG